This 468-nucleotide ribosomal RNA is filed under the name uncultured bacterium. Its description in RNAcentral is "bacterial SSU rRNA". It matches the Rfam family "Bacterial small subunit ribosomal RNA", at positions 27 to 507 of the family's 1533-position model. The record is from RNAcentral.
CGGAUGAACGCUGGCGGCGUGCUUAACACAUGCAAGUCGAACGGUGACGAGGAGCUUGCUCCUCUGAUCAGUGGCGAACGGGUGAGUAACACGUGAGCAACCUGCCCCAGACUCUGGGAUAACAGUUGGAAACAGCUGCUAAUACCGGAUACGAGACGGAGAGGCAUCUCUACCGUCUGGAAAGUUUUUCGGUCUGGGAUGGACUCGCGGCCUAUCAGCUAGUUGGUGAGGUAAUGGCUCACCAAGGCGACGACGGGUAGCCGGCCUGAGAGGGCGACCGGCCACACUGGGACUGAGACACGGCCCAGACUCCUACGGGAGGCAGCAGUGGGGAAUAUUGCACAAUGGGCGAAAGCCUGAUGCAGCGACGCCGCGUGAGGGAUGACGGCCUUCGGGUUGUAAACCUCUUUCAGCAGGGAAGAAGCGAAAGUGACGGUACCUGCAGAAGAAGCACCGGCUAACUACGUG